AACGAACGCUGGCGGCAGGCCUAACACAUGCAAGUCGAGCGCUCUCUUCGGAGGGAGCGGCGGACGGGUUAGUAACGCGUGGGAACGUACCCUUCUCUACGGAAUAGCCUCGGGAAACUGAGAGUGAUACCGUAUACGCCCUUCGGGGGAAAGAUUUAUCGGAGAAGGAUCGGCCCGCGUCUGAUUAGAUAGUUGGUGGGGUAACGGCCUACCAAGUCUACGAUCAGUAGCUGGUUUGAGAGGAUGAUCAGCAACACUGGGACUGAGACACGGCCCAG
This 278-nucleotide ribosomal RNA is filed under the name uncultured bacterium. Its description in RNAcentral is "partial 16S ribosomal RNA". It matches the Rfam family "Bacterial small subunit ribosomal RNA", at positions 29 to 334 of the family's 1533-position model. The record is from RNAcentral.